Molecule: ribosomal RNA, 498 nt
Filed under: uncultured bacterium
Lineage: Bacteria
Description: partial 16S ribosomal RNA
Rfam family: Bacterial small subunit ribosomal RNA
Source: RNAcentral
AUUGAACGCUGGCGGCAUGCCUUACGCAUACAAGUCGAACGGUAACAGGUCUUCGGAUGCUGACGAGUGGCGAACGGGUGAGUAAUACAUCGGAACGUGCCUAGUAGUGGGGGAUAACUACUCGAAAGAGUGGCUAAUACCGCAUGAGAUCAACGGAUGAAAGCAGGGGAUCGCAAGACCUUGUGCUACUAGAGCGGCCGAUGGCAGAUUAGGUAGUUGGUGGGAUAAAAGCUUACCAAGCCGACGAUCUGUAGCUGGUCUGAGAGGACGAUCAGCCAGACUGGGACUGAGACACGGCCCAGACUCCUACGGGAGGCAGCAGUGGGGAAUUUUGGACAAUGGGCGAAAGCCUGAUCCAGCAAUGCCGCGUGCAGGAUGAAGGCCUUCGGGUUGUAAACUGCUUUUGUACGGAACGAAAAGCCCUGGGUUAAUACCCUGGGGUCAUGACGGUACCGUAAGAAUAAGCACCGGCUAACUACGUGCCAGCAGCCGCCGUAA